GGUCGGCCGUGGCCGAUGCAGCAGCGUUGACGGCACUGCUGCUGCCGAUGAUGGUGGCGGCCGGCCAUGACCGCGCUCGAUCCGCCGGGCUGAUCGC
This 97-nucleotide transfer RNA is filed under the name Alphaproteobacteria bacterium ADurb.BinA280. RNAcentral describes it as "tRNA-Ser". Lineage: Bacteria; Pseudomonadati; Pseudomonadota; Alphaproteobacteria. The record is from RNAcentral.